CAUGACAUUGUCAUUGUUGUAAUUGUUAUUCCUCAAGAAACUAACAAGUGUGCUUACAGAUAUUUCGACUGGUUUCCCUGUGGUUCACUCUAUCAUAUAGACAAGAUAUCAUAACUAACAUUGCAUGGCCGACUAAUAAAGUCAUAAUUAGCUAAGAAAAUGGACUCACAACAAAGGCAAGUGCACAAAGGAUGAUGAAUUGAAGGAUGGAGCAAGUUUCAUGCAUGGUUUACUUUUGUGUAUCUUGUAAUGUUUCUGUUUUUCAUUUUUGAAGUAAAAAUUGUUCAAGAUUAUAAAAUUUUAUUAUGUUAUGCUUUCAAACUUAAGUUAGAACUAAGAUCUCAUGAAGUAGACACAUUCAUGGUUUGAAUUAGUUAUUGUUUAAUGUAAUACUUAUGGUUUAUCAAUCUAUUGAGAAUUACAUUU
Long non-coding RNA from Humulus lupulus (European hop), 426 nucleotides. RefSeq lists it as uncharacterized. Lineage: Eukaryota; Viridiplantae; Streptophyta; Magnoliopsida; Rosales; Cannabaceae. The transcript is spliced from 2 exons. The record is from RefSeq and is a predicted model, not a curated record.